ACACGAUUCAUAGCCAUUCAACUCGGUUGCAGAGCAACGCCCCUCAAGUAUCAGAGCAACCUGGAGACAAUAGCAAAUAAUCAAAUAUCCAGGCAAGGUGGAUAAGUUCGGACGCGGUACGCCGUCCAGCUCAAAGACAAGGUGAGAUGAGAUACCCAGGUCGGCAUGGUCGGCAUUAGUCCGUCUGAAUUGUCGAGAGAAUGACUGAUCAAGCACCGCUAGUAAAACCGUCAAUGGUUUCGCUAGUCGGAGUAACAAAACUGAAAGGAGCUCGACAUAUCCAACGACCCCGACAUUAGAUUACUCGUUGAGGUCGGAUCCAUGCUCGAGCUUAGAUAUGUGAUCGAGGUCGGACCGCACCACAAAUGAUGAAAAAUAAGUCGAUGGAAGAACUUGAAAUAAAGGUCGAUGGAAAACUGCAGAAGAACACGAGUGAGGAGUUCGGACUACACCAGCUCGGCCAAACACCAAAAUUAUCAAUUUUUCAAGAUUGAAUUUGGUGGGAUCAGAGUAAAGUAACACGCUCAUACAAUCCAUGCAAAAGUGGUCGGCGUGGCUCUUGAUCACUGGGAGGUAAGUACCCAAAUACUUUAUAAAUAUUACAGCAAUGCCAUUAUAAAUGAUUUAUUAAAAUUAGCUUAUGCACGAUCCACAACUACUGCAAGCAAUUAAUUAUUUAUCAUCAUCACCACCAGACAAACCUCAAAAUCAAGAGCCCUUUACACUACCUGCAUUUAUUGUUUUACAGAUUACAGAAUUAUAAAGUGUAAAUAAUACUUACACUAUUCACAAUAUUUUACAUGUUCGAGCAUAGUAUUUUAUAAAUUAAAAACGGAAAUAUAAAGCUAAAGUGUCUGGGGCAACAUAUUAUUUAUUGA
Molecule: long non-coding RNA, 878 nt
Filed under: Manihot esculenta (cassava)
Lineage: Eukaryota; Viridiplantae; Streptophyta; Magnoliopsida; Malpighiales; Euphorbiaceae
Description: long non-coding RNA (MESC_LNC006978)
Source: RNAcentral